This 471-nucleotide ribosomal RNA is filed under the name Penicillium sp. 5081. RNAcentral's name for it is "eukaryotic LSU rRNA". The stretch from base 127 to 280 matches the Rfam family "5.8S ribosomal RNA". The record is from RNAcentral. Lineage: Eukaryota; Fungi; Ascomycota; Eurotiomycetes; Eurotiales; Aspergillaceae.
CUUGUUGCUUCGGCGGGCCCGCCGCAAGGUCGUAGGGGGGCAUCUGCCCUCUGGCCCGCGCCCGCCGAAGACACCAUUGAACGCUGUCUGAAGAUUGCAGUCUGAGCAAUUAGUUAAAUAACUUAAAACUUUCAACAACGGAUCUCUUGGUUCCGGCAUCGAUGAAGAACGCAGCGAAAUGCGAUACGUAAUGUGAAUUGCAGAAUUCAGUGAAUCAUCGAGUCUUUGAACGCACAUUGCGCCCCCUGGUAUUCCGGGGGGCAUGCCUGUCCGAGCGUCAUUGCUGCCCUCAAGCACGGCUUGUGUGUUGGGCUCCGUCCUCCUUCCGGGGGACGGGCCCGAAAGGCAGCGGCGGCACCGCGUCCGGUCCUCGAGCGUAUGGGGCUUCGUCACCCGCUCUGUAGGCCCGGCCGGCGCUUGCCGACACAUCAAUCUUUUUUCCAGGUUGACCUCGGAUCAGGUAGGGAUACC